GAUGAACGCUGGCGGCGUGCCUAAUACAUGCAAGUCGAGCGAAAAGACGAGAAGAUUGCUCCUCUGCCGUUAGCGGCGGACGGGUGAGUAACAAAUGGAUAACCAACCUAUAAGACUGGGGUAACUUCGAGAAACAGAAGACAAUAACGGAGAAUCUAAUACACCGCAUGGAUCAAUACUGAAAGACGAUUUUGUAAUCACUGAUAGAUGGAUCCGCGCCGCAUUAGCUAGUUGGUAAGGUAACGGCUUACCAAGGCAACGAUGCGUAGCCGACCUGAGAGGGUGAUCGGCCACACUGGAACUGAGACACGGUCCAGACUCCUACGGGAGGCAGCAGUAGGGAAUCUUCCGCAAUGGGCGAAAGCCUGACGGAGCAACGCCGCGUGAGUGAUGAAGGUCUUCGGAUCGUAAAACCCUGUUAUUAGGGAAGAACAAAUGUGUAAGUAACUAUGCACGUCUUGACGGUACCUAAUCAGAAAGCCACGGCUAACUACGUG
RNAcentral lists this ribosomal RNA (497 nucleotides) under uncultured bacterium. RNAcentral's name for it is "partial 16S ribosomal RNA". It matches the Rfam family "Bacterial small subunit ribosomal RNA", at positions 28 to 507 of the family's 1533-position model. The record is from RNAcentral.